GCAGCGAAACGCGAUAGUUAAUGUGAAUUGCAGAAUUCAGUGAAUCAUCGAGUCUUUGAACGCACAUUGCGCCCAUUGGUAUUCCUUUGGGCAUGUCUGUUUGAGCGUCAUUACAACAUCUCAGCGCACGCUGGUUUUGAGCUGUGAGGGGCUUUCUGAGCCCCUUCCGCUUUAAAGUUGUAAGCUCUGCUGGCUCUCAGCCUGACCGAAAACAUAGUAAACUUCUUGCCUUGUUUAUGGAAUGGUUGUGGGGUUCGGCCUGAACAACACCUAUAAUUUCUAAGGUUUGACCUCAGAUCAGACAAGGAUACCCGCUGAACUUAAGCAUAUCAAUAAGCGGAGGA
This 344-nucleotide ribosomal RNA is filed under the name uncultured Orbiliaceae. RNAcentral describes it as "eukaryotic LSU rRNA". The stretch from base 1 to 110 matches the Rfam family "5.8S ribosomal RNA", at positions 45 to 154 of the family's 154-position model. Lineage: Eukaryota; Fungi; Ascomycota; Orbiliomycetes; Orbiliales. The record is from RNAcentral.